GGGCCACUAGCUCAGGCGGUAGAGCACCGGACUUUUAAUCCGGGUGUCGCGGGUUCGAGUCCCGCGUGGCUCACCA
RNAcentral lists this transfer RNA (76 nucleotides) under Bacillota bacterium. RNAcentral describes it as "Firmicutes bacterium (anaerobic digester metagenome) tRNA-Lys". It matches the Rfam family "tRNA". From Rfam's summary of the family: Transfer RNA (tRNA) molecules are approximately 80 nucleotides in length. Their secondary structure includes four short double-helical elements and three loops (D, anti-codon, and T loops). The record is from RNAcentral. Lineage: Bacteria; Bacillati; Bacillota.